RNAcentral lists this transfer RNA (72 nucleotides) under Bos taurus (domestic cattle). It matches the Rfam family "tRNA". From Rfam's summary of the family: Transfer RNA (tRNA) molecules are approximately 80 nucleotides in length. Their secondary structure includes four short double-helical elements and three loops (D, anti-codon, and T loops). Further hydrogen bonds mediate the characteristic L-shaped molecular structure. tRNAs have two regions of fundamental functional importance: the anti-codon, which is responsible for specific mRNA codon recognition, and the 3' end, to which the tRNAs corresponding amino acid is attached (by aminoacyl-tRNA synthetases). tRNAs cope with the degeneracy of the genetic code in two manners: having more than one tRNA (with a specific anti-codon) for a particular amino acid; and 'wobble' base-pairing, i.e. permitting non-standard base-pairing at the 3rd anti-codon position. Lineage: Eukaryota; Metazoa; Chordata; Mammalia; Artiodactyla; Bovidae. The record is from Rfam by way of RNAcentral. RNAcentral also lists the same sequence under 3 other names.
UCCCUGAUGGCUCAGACAGUAAAGAAUCUGCCUGCAAUGCAGGAGACUCAGGUUCAAUCCCUGGGUUGGGAA